AGAGUUUGAUCAUGGCUCAGGAUAAACGCUGGCAGCGUGCCUUAUGCAUGCAAGUCGUACGGUCUCGAUUUAUCGGGAUAGUGGCGAACGGGUGAGUAACACGUAAGUGACCUACCCUUAAGUAGGGGAUAACUCUGAGAAAUUGGAGCUAAUACCGUAUGUGGUGGUGGGAGUAAAGCUUCAUCACUAAAGCCCUCGGGCGCUUAGGGACGGGCUUGCGGCCGAUUAGCUAGUUGGUAGGGUAAGGGCUUACCAAGGCUGUGAUCGGCAGCUGGUUUGAGAGGAUGGUCAGCCACACUGGGAUUGAGAUACGGCCCAGACUCCUACGGGAGGCAGCAGCAAGGAAUUUUGUGCAAUGGGCGAAAGCCUGACACAGCGACGCUGCGUGGGGGAUGAAGGCCUUCGGGUCGUAAACCCCUUUUCUCAGGGAAGAAAAAUGACGGUACCUGAGGAAUAAGUCACGGCUAACUACGUGCCAGCAGCCGCGGUAAUACGUAGGUGGCAAGCGUUAUCCGGAUUUACUGGGCGUAAAGAGGGCGUAGGCGGUUUGACAAGUCGGAUGUAAAAUCUCCCAGCUUAACUGGGAGGGAUCGUUCGAUACUGUUGGGCUAGAGGGCAGCAAGGGGAGAUGGAAUUCCCGGUGUAGUGGUGAAAUGCGUAGAUAUCGGGAGGAACACCAGUGGCGAAGGCGGUCUCCUGGGCUGUUUCUGACGCUGAAGCCCGAAAGCGUGGGGAGCAAACAGGAUUAGAUACCCUGAUAGUCCACGCUGUAAACGAUGGACACUAGGUAUGGGGAGUAUCGACCCUCUCUGUGCCGAAGCUAACGCGUUAAGUGUCCCGCCUGGGGUUUACGGCCGCAAGGCUAAAACUCAAAUGAAUUGACGG
Molecule: ribosomal RNA, 885 nt
Filed under: uncultured bacterium
Lineage: Bacteria
Description: bacterial SSU rRNA
Rfam family: Bacterial small subunit ribosomal RNA
Source: RNAcentral